Molecule: ribosomal RNA, 400 nt
Filed under: phytoplankton environmental sample
Lineage: Eukaryota
Description: partial small subunit ribosomal RNA
Rfam family: Eukaryotic small subunit ribosomal RNA
Source: RNAcentral
AGCUCCAAUAGCGUAUUCAAAUGUUGUUGCAGUUAAAAAGCUCGUAGUUGGAUAUCAGACCAUGUGGAAUUGGCCCGUCGCCUUUGUGUGAUUGAGUGCUAGUGAAGCAGGUCUUAUUUUCCGGGAAGGAGUUCUGCCCUUAAUUGGUGUUGGAAUUUUUCGACCUGGAUCAGUUACCUUGAAUAAAUUAGAGUGUUCAAAGCAAGCUUACGCUGUGAAUAUUUUAGCAUGGAAUAACGACAUAGGACUUCAUGUCUAUUUCGUUGGUUUCUAGACUCGAAGUAAUGAUUGAUAGGGACAGUUGGGGGUGCUGGUAUUAUAUGGCCAGAGGUGAAAUUCUCAGAUUCAUGUAAGACCAACUCAUGCGAAAGCAUUCACCAAGGAUGUCUUCUUUAAUCAA